RNAcentral lists this ribosomal RNA (460 nucleotides) under uncultured bacterium. RNAcentral's name for it is "partial 16S ribosomal RNA". It matches the Rfam family "Bacterial small subunit ribosomal RNA", at positions 338 to 795 of the family's 1533-position model. The record is from RNAcentral.
CCUACGGGUGGCAGCAGUGAGGAAUAUUGGUCAAUGGGCGCGAGCCUGAACCAGCCAAGUAGCGUGAAGGAUGACUGCCCUAUGGGUUGUAAACUUCUUUUAUAUAGGAAUAAAGUGAAGUAUGUAUACUGCUUUGCAUGUACCUUAUGAAUAAGGAUCGGCUAACUCCGUGCCAGCAGCCGCGGUAAUACGGAGGAUCCGAGCGUUAUCCGGAUUUAUUGGGUUUAAAGGGAGCGUAGGCGGGUUGUUAAGUCAGUUGUGAAAGUUUGCGGCUCAACCGUAAAAUUGCAGUUGAUACUGGCAGCCUUGAGUACAGUAGAGGUAGGCGGAAUUCGUGGUGUAGCGGUGAAAUGCUUAGAUAUCACGAAGAACUCCGAUUGCGAAGGCAGCCUGCUAGACUGUCACUGACGCUGAUGCUCGAAAGUGUGGGUAUCAAACAGGAUUAGAUACCCCUGUAGUC